RNAcentral lists this ribosomal RNA (689 nucleotides) under uncultured bacterium. RNAcentral describes it as "bacterial SSU rRNA". It matches the Rfam family "Bacterial small subunit ribosomal RNA", at positions 505 to 1207 of the family's 1533-position model. The record is from RNAcentral.
GUGCCAGCCGCCGCGGUAAUACGGAGAUGCGAGCGUUAAUCCCGGAUUCAUUGGGUUUAAAGGGUGCGUAGCGGACUAUUAGUCAUGGUGAAAUCCUGCACUUAACUGCGAACUGCCAUUGAUACUGAUACCUUAGUGGUUAAGUAGCGGAAUGUGUAAUGUACGGUAAAUGCUUAGAUAUUACACAGAACACCAAUUGCGUAGGCAGCUUACUGAGCCGACACUGACGCUGAGGCACGAAAGCGUGGGGAUCGAACAGGAUUAGAUACCCUGGUAGUCCACGCCGUAAACGAUGAUUACUCGCUGUUGGCGAUACACUGUCAGCGGCUAAGCAAAAGCAAUAAGUAAUCCACCUGGGGAGUACGGCCGCAAGGUUGAAACUCAAAGGAAUUGACGGGGGCCCGCACAAGCGGAGGAACAUGUGGUUUAAUUCGAUGAUACGCGAGGAACCUUACCUGAGCUUAAAUGUAGAGUGCAUUUUCUAGAGAUAGGAAUUCCCUUCGGGGCUUUCUGCAAGGUGCUGCAUGGUUGUCGUCAGCUCGUGCCGUGAGGUGUCGGGUUAAGUCCCAUAACGAGCGCAACCCUUAUCGUUAGUUGCCAUCUGGUAAAGCAGGGGGACUCUAGCGAAACUGCCACCGUAAGGUGAGAGGAACGGUGGGGAUGACGUCAAAUCAGCACGGCCCUUAUGU